Mesocricetus auratus (golden hamster) is the source of this 47-nucleotide non-coding RNA. Lineage: Eukaryota; Metazoa; Chordata; Mammalia; Rodentia; Cricetidae. The record is from Rfam.
AAAAAGGCUCUUUUCAGAGCCCCUUCUCGUUCACCAAAAAACGAGCU